CCCGUGUGGGUGAGGAACAGAGGCCACGUUUCGGAGGGUAGCCGGCUGUUGGUGAUCUCUGUUGUAAGCAUUUAGUUGUCACUUGGUUUUGAUUUUGGAUGACAGUGAAUUUAAUAUCUAACCAGAAGUCUGAAGACAGGACCCAAUUCAUGAAUGCAUUCUGUAACACUUCGGGGACGUGAGUUUUCGAAUCCAGUACACAACAAUUUUAAAUUAUUUUCAGUGUAUCUGGAAAUAACCAUGUAGUCUUCGAUACAGCAAAUAAAUUCUUUGGAGAGACUCCGCUCUACAUGAAGAAAAUCAAGUGGAUAAUUUCGUUAGGUUGCCACCCCUUUGCCCGUUUUCUGGAUUCCUUUGUUUUUAAGCUGUGAGAAAGAAUUUGGUCUUCUCAGAUGUAUUCGGAAGAAAUUGGGAGUUUUUUCAUUACAGCACCUCAGCAUGCUUAUUUUUAGUUUCUGUGUUCACGUGGAGGAUACAAUUAACUGCUUCGUUUUAUGGCCCAAACUCUUGCCUGGAGGUUGAGUUCAGAGAUGGGGAGGUGGCUGAGAACCAGAGUGGGCGUCUUGGUGAAGGGGCACGUACACUGGGCUGCAUCCUCUCCAGUAGAGGAGGGGUCUCCGGAGCCUCCCCUGGAUGCCGAGGGUGUCGGACCCCGUGAUUGCUGUCUUCUGAGGAAGGAAGUUAAGUGGAGGCAGUGGCUGCAGAGACGGAAAGGAGGUCCCGCGCUAGGCUGUUUCUAACGAUGUGACUGUCU
Molecule: long non-coding RNA, 754 nt
Filed under: Monodon monoceros (narwhal)
Lineage: Eukaryota; Metazoa; Chordata; Mammalia; Artiodactyla; Monodontidae
Description: lncRNA (ENSMMNG00015016936.1)
Source: RNAcentral